UUGGAGGCCAAGUCUGGUGCCAGCAGCCGCGGUAAUUCCAGCUCCAAUAGCGUAUAUUAAAGUUGUUGCAGUUAAAAAGCUCGUAGUUGAGUUUCGGGGUUCUACCGUUGGUCAGGCUUUGUCUGUACUGGUGUGUAGAAUUUCUACCUUCUGGGGAACCAUCAUGCUAUUAAUUUAGCGUGGUGGGAAACCAGGACCUUUACCUUGAAAAAAUUAGUGUGUUCAAAGCAGGCUUAUGUCUGAAUACAUUAGCGUGGAAUAAUAGUAUAGGACGGUGGUCCUGUUUUGUUGGUUUCUGAAUCACCGUAAUGAUUAAUAGGGAUAGUUGGGGGCAUUAGUAUUCAAUUGUCAGAGGUGAAAUUCUUGGAUUUAUUGAAGACUAACUUCUGCGAAAGCAUUUGCCAAGGAUGUUUUCAUUAAUCAAGAACGAAAGUUGGGGGAUCGAAGACGAUCAGAUACCGUCGUAGUCUUAACCAUAAACUAUGCCGACUAGGGAUCGGACGAUGUUAAUUUUUCUUGACUCGUUCGGCGCCUUACGGGAAAC
Molecule: ribosomal RNA, 544 nt
Filed under: uncultured Glomeromycotina
Lineage: Eukaryota; Fungi; Glomeromycota
Description: SSU rRNA
Rfam family: Eukaryotic small subunit ribosomal RNA
Source: RNAcentral